This 202-nucleotide long non-coding RNA is filed under the name Elaeis guineensis (African oil palm). RNAcentral's name for it is "long non-coding RNA (EGUI_LNC026326)". The record is from RNAcentral. Lineage: Eukaryota; Viridiplantae; Streptophyta; Magnoliopsida; Arecales; Arecaceae.
GCUACACUGUAUGGUGUGAUUGUUAGAAUAGUAAGCUAGAUUUAGUAUAAGAAAACUAACAAAUACAAUAAUCUAUUUUAUGAAAGAUGAAAACCAACUCAUAGUAUAUCGCUAAACCAAAUUCAAAUUGAAUCGGAAGCGUGUGAAGUACUGUUUUAAGAUAUAUUUCUACCUUUCAUGCUGGAAAUCCCGAAAAUAUCAC